This 451-nucleotide ribosomal RNA is filed under the name uncultured organism. RNAcentral's name for it is "partial 16S ribosomal RNA". It matches the Rfam family "Bacterial small subunit ribosomal RNA", at positions 331 to 798 of the family's 1533-position model. The record is from RNAcentral.
GUACACUCCUACGGGAGGCAGCAGUGGGGAAUAUUGGACAAUGGGCGCAAGCCUGAUCCAGCCAUGCCGCGUGAGUGAUGAAGGCCCUAGGGUUGUAAAGCUCUUUCACCGGAGAAGAUAAUGACGGUAUCCGGAGAAGAAGCCCCGGCUAACUUCGUGCCAGCAGCCGCGGUAAUACGAAGGGGGCUAGCGUUGUUCGGAAUUACUGGGCGUAAAGCGCACGUAGGCGGAUCGAUCAGUCAGGGGUGAAAUCCCAGGGCUCAACCCUGGAACUGCCUUUGAUACUGUCGAUCUGGAGUAUGGAAGAGGUGAGUGGAAUUCCGAGUGUAGAGGUGAAAUUCGUAGAUAUUCGGAGGAACACCAGUGGCGAAGGCGGCUCACUGGUCCAUUACUGACGCUGAGGUGCGAAAGCGUGGGGAGCAAACAGGAUUAGAUACCCCUGUAGUCCCAU